RNAcentral lists this small RNA (17 nucleotides) under Arabidopsis thaliana (thale cress). RNAcentral's name for it is "ATSL124870". The record is from RNAcentral. Lineage: Eukaryota; Viridiplantae; Streptophyta; Magnoliopsida; Brassicales; Brassicaceae.
GUGUUGUUGUUCUUCUU